GAGACUUAGCUCAGUUGGUUAGAGCAAUCGGCUCAUAACCGAUCGGUCCUGGGUUCGAGUCCCUGAGUCUCC
This 72-nucleotide transfer RNA is filed under the name bovine gut metagenome. It matches the Rfam family "tRNA". Rfam says of the family: Transfer RNA (tRNA) molecules are approximately 80 nucleotides in length. Their secondary structure includes four short double-helical elements and three loops (D, anti-codon, and T loops). The record is from RNAcentral.